RNAcentral lists this ribosomal RNA (301 nucleotides) under uncultured bacterium. RNAcentral's name for it is "partial 16S ribosomal RNA". It matches the Rfam family "Bacterial small subunit ribosomal RNA", at positions 509 to 807 of the family's 1533-position model. The record is from RNAcentral.
CAGCCGCCGCGGGAAUACGUAGGGUGCAAGCGUUAAUCGGAAUUACUGGGCGUAAAGCGUGCGCAGGCGGUCUGACAAGUCAGAUGUGAAAUCCCCGGGCUUAACCUGGGAACUGCAUUUGAAACUGUCAGGCUGGAGUCUUGUAGAGGGGGGUGGAAUUCCAGGUGUAGCGGUGAAAUGCGUAGAGAUCUGGAGGAAUACCGGUGGCGAAGGCGGCCCCCUGGACAAAGACUGACGCUCAGGUGCGAAAGCGUGGGGAGCAAACAGGAUUAGAUACCCCGGUAGUCCCUGUCUCUUAUAC